This 497-nucleotide ribosomal RNA is filed under the name uncultured bacterium. Its description in RNAcentral is "partial 16S ribosomal RNA". It matches the Rfam family "Bacterial small subunit ribosomal RNA", at positions 28 to 507 of the family's 1533-position model. The record is from RNAcentral.
GAUGAACGCUGGCGGCGUGCCUAAUACAUGCAAGUCGAGCGAACAGACGAGGAGCUUGCUCCUCUGACGUUAGCGGCGGACGGGUGAGUAACACGUGGAUAACCUACCUAUAAGACUGGGAUAACUUCGGGAAACCGAAGCUAAUACCGGAUAAUAUAUUGAACCGCAUGGUUCAAUAGUGAAAGACGGUUUUGCUGUCACUUAUAGCUGGAUCCGCGCCGCAUUAGCUAGUUGGUAAGGUAACGGCUUACCAAGGCAACGAUGCGUAGCCGACCUGAGAGGGUGAUCGGCCACACUGGAACUGAGACACGGUCCAGACUCCUACGGGAGGCAGCAGUAGGGAAUCUUCCGCAAUGGGCGAAAGCCUGACGGAGCAACGCCGCGUGAGUGAUGAAGGUCUUCGGAUCGUAAAACUCUGUUAUUAGGGAAGAACAAAUGUGUAAGUAACUAUGCACGUCUUGACGGUACCUAAUCAGAAAGCCACGGCUAACUACGUG